This 547-nucleotide ribosomal RNA is filed under the name uncultured Glomeromycotina. RNAcentral's name for it is "SSU rRNA". It matches the Rfam family "Eukaryotic small subunit ribosomal RNA", at positions 550 to 1098 of the family's 1831-position model. The record is from RNAcentral. Lineage: Eukaryota; Fungi; Glomeromycota.
GGAGGGCAAGUCUGGUGCCAGCAGCCGCGGUAAUUCCAGCUCCAAUAGCGUAUAUUAAAGUUGUUGCAGUUAAAAAGCUCGUAGUUGAAUUUCGGGAUCAAUUUAUUGGUCGUGCCAACGGUACGCACUGGUACAAUUGGUUUCUCCCUUCUGACGAAGCAUGAUGCCAUUAAUUUGAUGUCGUGGGGAAUCAGGACUGUUACUUUGAAAAAAUUAGAGUGUUUAAAGCAGGCUUUGGCUUGAAUACAUUAGCAUGGAAUAAUGAAAUAGGACGUUUGAUCUUAUUUCGUUGGUUUCUAAGAUCGACGUAAUGAUUAAUAGGGAUAGUUGGGGGCAUUAGUAUUCAAUUGUCAGAGGUGAAAUUCUUGGAUUUAUUGAAGACUAACUACUGCGAAAGCAUUCGCCAAGGAUGUUUUCAUUAAUCAAGAACGAAAGUUAGGGGAUCGAAGACGAUCAUAUACCGUCGUAGUCUUAACCAUAAACUAUGCCGACUAGGGAUCGGAUGAUGUUAAUUUUUUAAUGACUCAUUCGGCGCCUUACGGGAAAC